UCUGACCUACGGGGGGCAGCAGUGAGGAAUAUUGGUCAAUGGGCGCGAGCCUGAACCAGCCAAGUCGCGUGAGGGAUGACGGUCCUACGGAUUGUAAACCUCUUUUGCCGGGGAGCAAGCGUGCGUUCGUGAACGCACGUCGAGAGUACCCGGAGAAAAAGCAUCGGCUAACUCCGUGCCAGCAGCCGCGGUAAUACGGAGGAUGCGAGCGUUAUCCGGAUUUAUUGGGUUUAAAGGGUGCGUAGGCGGACUGUUAAGUCAGCGGUAAAAGCCCGGGGCUCAACCCCGGCGAGCCGUUGAAACUG
RNAcentral lists this ribosomal RNA (305 nucleotides) under uncultured bacterium. Its description in RNAcentral is "bacterial SSU rRNA". It matches the Rfam family "Bacterial small subunit ribosomal RNA", at positions 331 to 635 of the family's 1533-position model. The record is from RNAcentral.